Molecule: long non-coding RNA, 1218 nt
Filed under: Elaeis guineensis (African oil palm)
Lineage: Eukaryota; Viridiplantae; Streptophyta; Magnoliopsida; Arecales; Arecaceae
Description: long non-coding RNA (EGUI_LNC006325)
Source: RNAcentral
UUCUCGUUCUUUUUCUCACGUCUUCUCUCUCUCUCUCUCUCCUCUUUUCGUUCUUUCUUCCAUCAAGCCGAAGGGGGGCUUUCAUUACUAAGGAGGAGGGUAGAGGGACGGAGGAGAUGGAGUCGGCGGCGGCGUUCAGAGGCGGCAAUCCAGCGGUGAAAAAUCCCGACGAUCGAGGAUAACGCCCCAAAACAGAGAAAGAAAAGAUUAUGGAGGAAGGGGGUUUUCGAGCGACGGCGACUUGAUCGUAGCAGUCCGGCGGUUGCCGGAGGUUGCCGGAGGUGAGGAGGCAGGGAGGCUUCGAUGGUGGAUUCGAUUGAGAGGGGAGGGGUUUUAAAGAGAGAGAGAUGGCAAGGGAUAAGUUCGAUCAACCGUGGAUAAAGCUGGCCGUUCGCCGGCGUAAUCAAUCCAACAACCGACCCCUUCCGGCAUACGGCUCUAUCCGGUCACCCAACGCAGCCUUAUCUUCUCCGAUGGCUGAAGAUCGGGCAGGGACAAAGUUCCCCUGUUCCGAUUUUUUUUUUUUUUUGAACAGUUCCUGUGAAGCGGUAGAUAUUGCCGACUUCAUGUUGAACUGGAUCUAAAAAAACCGGUUCUCACAGCUUCCAAAUGCAUUUUGCAUCCUCCCGGUUCCUGCUGGGACAACCGUCCACACGUUUGUCAAACCAGCGAGCGUCUCUCCAAGAAAACUAACAGCUUUUAUUUCUUGAUUUUUCUGUGGAGCUGUAUGAAUGGUACGCAAAUACGAACACCUGAGCUGCCAGUAUUGUAUCAUCUUUUGCAUUGGCUUGACGUCAGUUAUAAUCCCAAAAUGCGAUAUCUUCAAUAGAAGAAGGCCUAGUAAAUCUUACUUUUUUUUUGGAUGUAAUUGGAGGUAGCCAGCGGCUGCCCCCAGCUCUUGUUAAGAUGAAUGAAGAAAAUUUACAAGAAGAAGGGAAAAGGAAUAAGAAAAGUACUUCACAGGCUGUGUAAAGUUAGAACCCUCCAAAGAAUCUCGCGGUUCUUCUCUGUUUUCCUCGUACGGAGACACUGCCAACCAUGAAAUGCGUGGAUUGGUUUUUGAAGGGUUGAAAGGAGGGAUCGCCUCUUCCUAAAACAUAUCCUCUCGCCAGACUUCCCACCAAAUGGGUGCUGGAAGCUGAUCAUCUGCUCGUUUACCCAACUUUUGAUGAUUUUUUGUUCUACACUGUGUCCAUAGAUCAUGCAAAUUCGUUGAAG